RNAcentral lists this transfer RNA (66 nucleotides) under Pselaphanus sp. QL-2013. RNAcentral describes it as "tRNA-His". Lineage: Eukaryota; Metazoa; Arthropoda; Insecta; Hymenoptera; Braconidae. The record is from RNAcentral.
AUUUAAAUAAUUUAUUAAAAUAUUGAUUUGUGAUAUCAAAAAUAUAGAAAUUAUCUAUUUUAAAUU